This is a long non-coding RNA of Marmota monax (woodchuck), 7232 nucleotides long. RefSeq lists it as uncharacterized. The record is from RefSeq and is a predicted model, not a curated record. The transcript is spliced from 2 exons. NCBI's taxonomy places the organism in Eukaryota, Metazoa, Chordata, Mammalia, Rodentia, Sciuridae.
ACUUACUUGGCCAAAAACACUUGGAAUCGUCACUUACUUGUGCUAAGGAAAUUAUCACAGAGACCUAAAUGUAUACUAAUCUAAUGUGAAAGCAAAUUCCUUUAUAUUUUUCCAAACAUAAUGAUCAAUACCCAAUGAAACUCUUCUAUAAUUUAUCUAUAGUUUGAUAAUGAAGAACAUUUUAAAUGUAUAGUAAUUUCAGCAAACAUGUUUUAUAUUUUUGUUUCCCUAAAAAUAGUUAUAGAUAUUGUGUUCUUUUUAACAGUUUUUAAAUAAAAAUUGUAUAUGAAAUUCAUGUUUAAAAAUUAUGCAUGCUCUUUAUAUAUUCAGAGAGAGACAAAGAUUUGUUACUAAAAACAACAGCAGCAGCAAAAACAUAGUGGUCUCCUAUUCUCUUACUCCUCAUUAUUCCUUCCCCAGACCUCCCUGUAACACAUUCUUUUGGUAUUUAUAUCCAUGUUUCUAAACACACACAUUGCCUUGUUGCUGUCUGACUCAGGAAGCUUGAGGAAUCAGCUAAUGACUUCUCACUAAGGACAAUGAAAAUUCAGGUCUGUCCCUUUACCUCCAAUCAUAGCAUGUCGCACGCUUUCUGUUCUCACUGCUGCUCCCGAUACAGCUGUCUCAUAACUUCGAUUAUAUUCUAAUCAAAGUUAGUUUUCUUGGAUUGUGAUUGUGUAAACCCUGUUCAUAGCUGGGCCUCAGAUUAGUGGUGACCAAUGAUGACAACUUUGCCUUGCAUGCACCACUGCUUGUCUUCUCUGAUGUUAAUAAUGCCUUGCCUCUCAGUUUUACUGUUUCAACCCCAAACUCUGCCUCACAAAUCUAAAUUGCCUUUGUAUGAUCAGGCACAUGAGGUGUCCUAUCAGUGCACCUCAUUAGGGAGCUCUUCAAAUGUCCUUGCCAGCCACUUCCCUGAGUGCCCUGUGCACAGAUUUCUUCAAGCACCAUUCGCUUUUAUCCUAGGAGGCAGCUCCUCCCUCUAUGUGGGCUUUUACCUGUUUCUGGACCCAUGACUUUCUCUUUUUUAUUCACUCGAUUUUAGUGAAGCCUUCUUCCUAUAGCUUCUUUAGAAAGUGUGCCCAGGAAAUAAAUUGAGACCUUGAUUCCUGUUUGACCUCUCUGAAAUUCGAAGGAUUUUUUCUCUUUGCUUCUAGUGUUCUGAAAUUUCAUAAUGGCCCUUUGGUGGCUUCUUUUCAUCUAUUAUGCUGGUACUUGAAAUGCCCUUUUAACAUGAAAUUUCAUGUCCUUUAGUUCUGGGAAGUAUCCUUGAAUAGUUUUGAUUAUAUCUUUCCCACUUAAAAGUUUUUUUAUCAACAUAUUUAUUGUACAUACUAAUGGAAUUCAGUGUACAUGCAUAUAGUAUGCACUGAUCAAAUCUGUCUAGGAUUUAUUCAGAUGUAGGAUCUGUUGGACCAGUCUUUUCAUUUUCUUAUUUUCUCUUUUGUUGUACUACUUAUUGAAGAAUUGAGGUUCUUAUCCCUUUCUUGAGUUCUUUUCAUUUCUGUUAUCCUAUAUUUAAUAUUUCAAAGUUUUCUUUUCCCUCUAAAUUGUAUUUUUGUGUAGUAUUCUGUUCUUGUUUCAUGGUUGCAGCAUCUUAUCUGAAUAUAUUAGUGAUUGUUUUCAUAUUUUUAAACUCAGUUUUCUUCUCCCUGCAUAGCCUCUGUAGCAUUUCUAUGUUUUGGUCUCUUUUUGCAUACUGUGAGCACACUUUUGAUGCCUCAUGCUGCUUGUUGGCAUGUGGAUGGGGUUGGCCAACCUAUCAGUGAUCUGUACCACACACUUGCAGUUAGGGGAUCUGGCCUGGCAGAGUUGUUGCCAGCACCCCCAAUGGCUUAUCCUAGGCCUUCCCUUAUCGAUUUCAGAUUUCCUGUAGAAGAGGUGCUUCCCAGCUCUUUCUUGGGGGACAAAGUCUAGGUGCUAGCUUUCAGGAGCCAUGUGAGGAAAGAAAGCAGGAGUACCUGGCAUUCAGUAUGUGAAUAUUCAACGAAUAGUCAUGUUUAUAAUAACUACCCUGACACUCAACAAUAAAGACAGUUAUUAUAAGGUAACCUUACUUAUUGACCCCCAAUUAGAGAUAUUCUGUUUUACCCUCUCUGAAGAAUAAACUUCCCAUCUUCUCCUGGGUUCAGGAGCCUAAUUGCAUAGAACUGCAAAGAGGAAAGAGUUACCGAAAAUCUCAGCCAGCCCUCCUUAUUCUAGCCACACUCCCCUUAGUCCUCUGCUAUCAAAAGUACUUGUGCCAGGCGUGGUGGCGCAUACCUGUUAUCCCAACUACUCAGGAGGUUGAGGCAGGAGGAUCGCAUGUUCAAAGCAGGCCUGGGAAAUUUAUUGAGACCCUGCCUCAAAAUAAAAACUAAAAUGGGCUGGGGAUGUAGUAAAUUGGCGAAGUACCCCUUGGCUCUAUCCCUAGGACCACAAAAAUUAAAAUUUAAAAAAAGUACUUCUCGGGCUUGGGGUUGUGGCACAGUGGUAGAGUGCUUGCCUCACAUGUGUGGCGCACUGGGUUCGAUCCUCAGCACCACAUCAAUAAAUAAAGGUAUUGUGUCCAUGUACAACUAAGAAUUUUUUUUUUUUUAGAAAAGGCACUUCUUGUUACCAGUUUCUUAAAUGUUCAUGGAGAUGGUGUCUUAGCCAUGCUGCUUCUCAGCUUAUAUUACCAUGUAUUUAUGUGUGUGUGUUUGUUUUUGAUGAACUAUUUGGGAGUUAUUGACAUUAUGAUACUUCAUCUAUGAAGAUUGAUGAGUGUGCAUCUCAUAUGAACAAGGACAGUUUCCUGCAUAACCACAAUAGUAUUAUCACAGUUCAGAUAAUCAGCAUUUCUUAGUAAUAUCCUUAGUAAUGUAUAGUCAAAUGACCCCACUUGUCUCAAAAUGGAUCUUAUAUUUUUAAAAUACUUAUCAGAAUGCCUCUGAGGAAAAUUGCACUUGUUCUUAUAUUGCAAAUGAUAAAAAUAAGAUCCCCAAAAUAUUAAGAAUAAACUAAUAUGCAAGAAGUAAUUUGCCAGCUGUUGUUGAUAUAUGGCUUUUUGCAUCUGCAACCUUGGAAACCACUUGGGUUUUGAGGAAGCUGUGGCAUAUUACUGUUGAUUUGGGGAACUCACUCAAUUUGGGCCUACUCUUUCCUAAACAUCUGUAUUUCUAGAGUUCAUGUGGUCCUUGUCAAACCUGUGUAAUUCUUAGAUUGCAGGAUUAGGUGUUAGACAGUAUUGGCAUAAGAAAUAAAUUUCUUUUUUUUUUUUUGAAUAUUUUAAUAUUUAUUUUUUAGUUUUCAGCGGACAUAACAUCUUUGUUUAUAUGUGGUGCUGAGGAUCGAACCCGGGCCGCACGCAUGCCAGGCGAGCGCGCUACCACUUGAGCCACAUCCCCGGCCCAGAAACAAAUUUCUUUACUGCAGAAUGAUUGGGUGCUGUGUUCAAAGAAAAAGUAGUCUAAAAAAUUCUAUGUUAACACCAGGUGUGGUAGCACACUCAUGUAAUCCCAGUGGCUUAGGAGACUGAGACAGGAGGAUCACAAGUUCAAAGCCAGCAACUUAGUGAGGCCCCAAGCAACUUAGUAAGACCCUGUCUCUAAAUAAAAUAUAAAAAGGACUGGGGAUGUGGCUCAGUAGUUAAGUGACCCUGGGUUCAGUCCCUGGUACAAAAAAAACCCAAAAAACAAAAAACAAACAACUAUGUUAAGUAAAAUAACUGCUGUAGUUUGAAAUUCUUUUGUUUCAGUAGAUUACUUAAGGAUCUUAUGUAUAUUUCUUUUUUGUGUCAGGGGUACUGGGGACUGAACUCAGGGGCACUCAACCGCUGAGCCACAUCCCCAGCCCUAUUUUGUAUUUUAUUUAGAGACGAGUCUCACUGAGUUGCUUAGCACCUCACAGUUGCUGAGGCUGGUUUUGAUCCUCCUGUCACAGCCUCCCGAGCCAGAGGGAUUAUAGGCGUGCACCACCGCCACCGCGCCCAACUAAGUAUAUUAUUCAUUUUAAUUUAUUUUUUUUUUCUGUUUGGGGGAUUGAACCUAGGGCCUCUUGCCUGAUAGGUAAAUGCUUUACCACUGGGGUAUAUCCCUAGCCCCGUAUAUUUCAUUUCAGUAAUGAAAAUCUGAGGUUCUCAAUGAAAGUAUUCUGAAUAUGGCCUCUGCUAUCUGCCCUUCUGCCUUCCCCCUUUUCACUACACUUUUAAAGAACCCUUUGACUCUGGUACCCACUGAAUUGACAAAGGCAGGGAAUAAGGAGGAAUUGGAGUGGAGGAAGGAGGAGUGGAGAAAAGGAGACAACUGGAGAGAGACAGAGACACAAAAGAAAGAAGGAGAAGGAGGAGGGCAGAAGGGAGGGGAGCAUCUCAUAGUUAAAGGUCACAUUUGCUGAAAGAGUUUGUGAAGACCUAACCAAUCACUUUUUGGAUCUAGGACACUUUCUUAGAUGACUUUGCCUUUUAAUAAUUCCUCAACCAACAAUUAGUCAGGAAAGAGAAACCCAGAAAUAGCCCAUUCCAGCUCCUGCAUUAACCAAACAACCCAAACUCUUUGUUCCCAGAUAUUUACCUUCUUUCUGUUGCUCCCCUGCCUAUCCUCCCAUCUCCUCCAGCAGACCCUGGGCUGCCCACACUCAGGAAUGCCCAGGGCUUCUGAGAAUCAUCGAAAAGCUGGUAUUCCUGCUUCCUGGUUGCUCAGGCCUUGGCUGCUGGCCUGAUUGGCUCACAGGGUUCCCUUUGGCACCUGUGACCUUGUAAGACAGAAGAAAAGCACUGUAAUUUGUAGCCUUCCGUGAAUGUUUACAUCUACCUGCUGUGUAGGUACGUGGGGUACAUCUUUUUUCUUUCUUAGCUGCUCCCUGCCAUCUCACAACAGUCCUGAGACAUAGGGCAGUUAGGUGGUAGUUAUUCCUAUUUAUAUUCUGCUACUCUAUUAACUGGCAUUCAAAUUUGUAUACACAGAUUACUCUCAGCCAGGCACAGUGGUUCACACCUGUAAUUCCAGUGUCUUGGGAGACUUAGGAAGAAAGAUUGUGAAUUUGAGGCCAGCCUCAACAACUUAGCAAGACUCUGCUCAAAAUAAAAAGUAAAAAAGAUGGGAAUGUAGCUCAUGGUGAAGUACCCCUGGGUUUGACCCCCAGUACCAAAAAAAGAAAAACAACAACUGCUCUUUAACUUUGAACUUAAUAAGUCAAAAGAAAUGUAAACGUGAAUAAAUAGGAAAAUUUGUCUCCUAACAUUAUUAUUGUCAAAACAGCAUUCUCCUUCAGUUUCCUAACCUUACAAAGCACAUUUAUUUAUAGUCCCAAAUAUUUUUAUGCAAUUUUUUAUUGCCAUACAGAAAAGACACGGAUCACACAGAGUGCAACUUGAUACAUUUGCACAAACUAAACUUAGCAGUGUUCAAAAAGAAAAAGUGACAUCAUCAGAAUCUCAAAGAGAUCUUUGUGGGGUCAGGAAUGCCCACCUCUUGGCCACUGCCUCCCUAGGGCAGCUACUAUGCUGACCUCCAACAGCACAGAGAAUUUUGAGCCAUUUUCAGUAUUCUACAUGAACCAAGCUUCUAAUAUUUGACAUGUGAAACAAAAUGUAAUAUGUUUUAAAAUGAAAGGGACUUUGGAACUCAUAUAUACCUUGGGGCAGGGUGAUCCAGGGUUAGAAAAAGAAGAAUGAGAAGUCAAAGCAGUUUUUUCUUCAUAUCUGAAGUGCAUGGUAACAUUACAGCAGCAGGUCACACACUGUGAGUGACAAAGUAGUCUGGAGGACCUGUGGAUAAAAUUGUAGUAACAGAAAUGCACUCAGAGCAGCCAUGUCUCAAAGGUCCAGGGCUUGGGAGAAUUUUUGAUAUUUGCUCUCUGCCUUCCAAGAGUUCUUGCAUCAGGCAUGAUUUUGAGAACAUGCAUGUAUUCAUGUGUGAGUUACUUUACAAGUUGUUAUAUCUUGAGAAGCUUUCUGAUGUGGGAUGUCACUGCCCCCUUCCAGGGCUAAGAGAGACCCUGCCCCCUCUGUGGGGCUCUGAAGAGUCAAGGACAGAAAAUGACCAACGUCCAUAAUGUCGGGUGAGCCUUGGCCACCUGGAUCCCUUACACGGUGUGUGAAUCGCGUCUUCCUGGACUGGGUUGCUCUGUGAGAACAGUCUGUUUUCAGUGAACUCUUGCAGUUUCAUCAGCUGGAACAAAUCAUAAACUCGGGCUUCUCCGGUGUCCUUGAUUAUGCUCAAGUCCCCAGUUAGCGUCAUGAAACAAAGCCUGAGGGAGCUGACCAAGUUCAAGAAGCAAAUGGCAGGUUCACAUAACCAGUAAAUGGAUUCCAAUCCGGUUCUGUUGGAUCCCAAAGUGAUUUACUCUUUCUUCUAUGUUCUGCUGAUUAUAUUAUUAACCUUUUUCUAACUGUCUCUAAAAUGUAUCUCUAAAAUCAUAAAACUAAUUUUGGGAGUCUGCUUUGUAAACCAGAUGCAAAUAAGAGGAAAUAAAAAAUAUUGUUGCAGAAUGCCAUCAUUAUUGAAGUAAGCAAAUUCUUGGUGGGAAAACUCUAAUGUCUAUGUCUAUGUUCUCGUAGUACAUUUGAGAAAACCAAGUAUUUUGAGAGGAUGCAUCAUACAUAGUAGAUGAUUUUUCCAAAUUAUCUGACAUGAUGUUCACACUGGAUUUUUCAAAGAUGUGUUAAUUAACUUAUUGGACAGUGAGUCAUAUCAUGUUAUGUAAAUGACUUUAGGAAAUUUAACUUAAUUAUUCCUGGUUAGAGCACUAGAAGCGCUUGCUGCCAUAUGGCUUCUCUUUCAUAGACAAAUACUUAUGCUAAAGUUACAGGUAAGAAGGACAGGACCACUUGGUAAUAUUGAAACUGGAAGCUUAGUCUCCUGUGAGGCUCUGACAUGGAGCUGGAGGCCAUCUGGAGGUUAGACCAGCAGGAGCUCUGGCUGUCACAGAGUUUGGUGCAGGUUUUUAAAAAAAAAUUUUUAAGGAGCUAGGCAUGGUUUUGCAAACCUGUAAUCCUAGCUACUCAGGAGUCUGAGGCAGGAGGAUCACAAGUUCAUGGCUAACCUGGGUAACUUAGUGAGAACUUGUCUCAAAAUAAAAAUAUAAAAAGGGUUGGGGAUGUAGCUUAGGAGUAAAACAUCACUAGGUUCAAUCCCCAGUACCACAUACAUACACACACAAAAAUGUUGUUAAGGGAUUGGAAAUUUGUCAGUAAUGUUCCUUUCCAAAGGAUCAUCCAUUCAAAAUUCUUGAGAUGUAAAAAAUAAAAUAUUUUUAUAUCUUAUGUCCAA